RNAcentral lists this long non-coding RNA (2725 nucleotides) under Salvia miltiorrhiza (redroot sage). RNAcentral's name for it is "long non-coding RNA (SMIL_LNC010513)". The record is from RNAcentral. Lineage: Eukaryota; Viridiplantae; Streptophyta; Magnoliopsida; Lamiales; Lamiaceae.
UUUGGGCUUAAAUGGGCGUAUUGAGCUCCAUUUUAUGUGUGCAAACACAGUAGAUUUCUUCGUCUUCUUCCUUCUUCGUCUUCUUCCUCCCCAUUUUACUGCAAUGCAACCCAACCUCGACAGUUCGCCGCCGCCGCCAUGGUGAGCCGCCUCCUUCAUGCUGGGUCAUCAACCAGAAAGACCCUCCUUACCUUCCAUUCAUGCGUAGUCCCCAAAGUGUUCUCCACCGCCUGCAGGAAAAGCCAGUUUCCACCGCCGCCGGUGGCCAAGAAGGUUCCUUUCGCUGCAACCGCGCAUGGGUUGACGUGGCAAGACCCGUACCGUUGGAUGUCCAACACCAGCGACCCGGAUUUCAUCAGCUACAUAAACCAAGAGAACUCCUACGCCGAUGCAUUUAUGCGAGACACCUUACAACUGCACAACACACUUUAUUCCGAGAUGGUUUCCAGAUUGCCCCCCGAUAUCACCACCCCUCCUGAACGUUGGGGUCCCUGGUUCGUAAUUUCACUCCAUCGCGCCAAGCUCUAUGUAAAUUGAUUCUUAAAAUAGCAAUCUCUGAGGUUGAAUUUCCUACUUGUCUGUGUAUGUAGCUCUUCACGCUUUUGCUCAAUAUUUCUGUGUGCAUAAAGUUUUCAAUGUUUGGAAAUUUGCUUUAGUAUGCAUACAUUGGAAGUCUGCUGUGUUUUGAGGGUUUGAUUAAUCAUCAUAUAUGUAGUCUAAUGCAAUGUUUAACCAAAGUAAUCGUAGGCUAGCUUUAGCUCGUAUUAAUUUUCUUCAACUGUUGUGUGGCGAUAUGCUAACUUAGAGGGUGUUUGGCUAAGCUUAUUUUAGAGAUCUUAUAAGCUCCAACAUCCUGCCUUAAAGCGAAUCUGCAAAAUGAAUUUCAUAGUGAUUUUAUUUGUGGAUUGAAUAGGUUGUAUUACCAGUGCAUUCCCGAGGGGAAGGAGUAUCCCAUCUUAUAUAGGAAACCGGCAGUUGAGAGAAAGGGUUGGGCAGAAAUGAUUUUCAGUUCCUCCAGAGGAGUAUUUGGCCGGGAACAAGUGUUGCUCGACUGGAAUGAGAUUGCAGAAAAACAUGGCAAGUGAUUCUAACUCAUCAUUUCCUAUUCAUCUGAAAAUUUCUUUCUAAGUUUACAACUAUUCAAUUUGGUUUUCAAUCAUCCUUGACUCUCGUGAUCUGAGCAUUCAUCUUGCAUUACCAGCAAAAUGUUCCAUCUUUGAUAAACCAGCGAGUAAUUUACUUGCGGAUACAUGUAUUAAAAUGUGAGAAUUUAUUUUUGUAGGAUAUGUCCAUGUAAAUACCUGCAGAGUAUCACCAGACCACAGGUUUCUUGCAUAUACAGUUGACACUAAAGGNAUUAGUUAAAAAAAACACAUUAUAUAAAUAAAAGAGUAAAAUUUUGAAGUAGACCAAAAUGAAGCAAUAAAACACAAUUUAUGGCCACACAUUGAAAACACAAAUUUUGGCCAUUUUAUUGAUUUGGACAUUUUUGCCCUUGAUGAGGCGGACUGGGUAGGAUCAGGCACGCGGGUCGCGUGCCGGGUCGGGUUAGGCACUUAUGGCACUAUUAGUGCCAUAAGUGCCAUCGGAAAUCCAAAAUAAAACUAAGUAAAAUAGUCAUUUUGGCACUUAUGGCACUAAUAGUGCCAUAAGUGCCAACGAAAAUUCAAAAUAAAACUAAGUAAAAUGGUCAUUUGGGCACUUAUGACACUAAUAGUGCCAUAAGUGCCAUACGUGCAGCACAAAUACAGAAACAACAACAUCAUUUAAACCCUAAAUGGAACAUCUAAACCCUAGGGGGAAGUGUGCACUUAUGGCACUAAUAGUGCCAUAAGUGCCAUACGUGCACAGACGAUCAGCACAGAUCAGAUCAGAUCAGAUGAUCUGCCGCCGCCGCCGCCUCAUCAUCCGCCACCCUGACCAAUCCCUCCUCCACGCGUUUCAGAGGAUCGGAUCUCCUCCACCCGCCGCCGCCUCCAUCCUCUACUCCGACGAAUCUGCUGCUGACUUCUGCUUGGCGCCGCUGCGAUCAGAUCAGCUUGGCACCGCCGCUGCGAUCAGAUCAGCUGCGAUCAGAUCUGCUCCGGUGACUUCUGCUCGGCGCCGCUGCCGCGUAGCCGCUGGAGAGAGAGAGAGAGAUGAGCCGCUGAGAGAAGAGAGAGGAGCCGCUGGAGAGAGAGAGAGGGAGAUGAGAAAGAGAGAGGAAAGAGAGAGAAUGGUAGAAUAGUCAUGACAUACAAAAAAUGGCUAAAAUUUAUGUUUUUUCAAAUGGUGGACAAAAUUUGAUGUUGUAUGUUGAAUAGGACCAUUCGGCCCUAUUGUUUCUUUAUGGAGGUUCAUUUAUUUAUUUAUUUUUUGGAGGAAAAGUAUGUUCACUGUUGGGCCACAUUUUGGGCUUAAAUGGGCGUAUUGAGCUCCAUUUUAUGUGUGCAAACACAGUAGAUUUCUUCGUCUUCUUCCUUCUUCGUCUUCUUCCUCCCCAUUUUACUGCAAUGCAACCCAACCUCGACAGUUCGCCGCCGCCGCCAUGGUGAGCCGCCUCCUUCAUGCUGGGUCAUCAACCAGAAAGACCCUCCUUACCUUCCAUUCAUGCGUAGUCCCCAAAGUGUUCUCCACCGCCUGCAGGAAAAGCCAGUUUCCACCGCCGCCGGUGGCCAAGAAGGUUCCUUUCGCUGCAACCGCGCAUGGGUUGACGUGGCAAGACCCGUACCGUUGGAUGUCCAAC